Molecule: ribosomal RNA, 275 nt
Filed under: uncultured bacterium
Lineage: Bacteria
Description: partial 16S ribosomal RNA
Rfam family: Bacterial small subunit ribosomal RNA
Source: RNAcentral
AUACGUAGGGUGCGAGCGUUAUCCGGAAUCAUUGGGCGUAAAGAGCUCGUAGGCGGUUCAGCAAGUCGGCUGUGAAAGUUCGAGGCUCAACCUCGAAAUUGCAGUCGAUACUGCUGUGACUCGAGUCCAGUAGAGGAGAAUGGAAUUCUCGGUGUAGCGGUGAAAUGCGCAGAUAUCGAGAGGAACACCAGUAGCGAAGGCGGUUCUCUGGGCCGGCACUGACGCUGAGGAGCGAAAGCGUGGGGAGCAAACAGAAUUAGAAACCCCAGUAGUCC